Molecule: ribosomal RNA, 1588 nt
Filed under: Salmonella enterica subsp. enterica serovar Alachua
Lineage: Bacteria; Pseudomonadati; Pseudomonadota; Gammaproteobacteria; Enterobacterales; Enterobacteriaceae
Description: partial 23S ribosomal RNA
Rfam family: Bacterial large subunit ribosomal RNA
Source: RNAcentral
GAAGGUGGCCUGUGAGGGUUGCUGGAGGUAUCAGAAGUGCGAAUGCUGACAUAAGUAACGAUAAAGCGGGUGAAAAGCCCGCUCGCCGGAAGACCAAGGGUUCCUGUCCAACGUUAAUCGGGGCAGGGUGAGUCGACCCCUAAGGCGAGGCCGAAAGGCGUAGUCGAUGGGAAACGGGUUAAUAUUCCCGUACUUGGUGUUACUGCGAAGGGGGGACGGAGAAGGCUAUGUUGGCCGGGCGACGGUUGUCCCGGUUUAAGCGUGUAGGUGUGUGUUCCAGGUAAAUCCGGUUCACUUUAACACUGAGGCGUGAUGACGAGGCACUACGGUGCUGAAGCAACAAAUGCCCUGCUUCCAGGAAAAGCCUCUAAGCAUCAGGUAACAUCAAAUCGUACCCCAAACCGACACAGGUGGUCAGGUAGAGAAUACCAAGGCGCUUGAGAGAACUCGGGUGAAGGAACUAGGCAAAAUGGUGCCGUAACUUCGGGAGAAGGCACGCUGACACGUAGGUGAAGUGAUUUACUCAUGGAGCUGAAGUCAGUCGAAGAUACCAGCUGGCUGCAACUGUUUAUUAAAAACACAGCACUGUGCAAACACGAAAGUGGACGUAUACGGUGUGACGCCUGCCCGGUGCCGGAAGGUUAAUUGAUGGGGUCAGCGCAAGCGAAGCUCCUGAUCGAAGCCCCGGUAAACGGCGGCCGUAACUAUAACGGUCCUAAGGUAGCGAAAUUCCUUGUCGGGUAAGUUCCGACCUGCACGAAUGGCGUAAUGAUGGCCAGGCUGUCUCCACCCGAGACUCAGUGAAAUUGAACUCGCUGUGAAGAUGCAGUGUACCCGCGGCAAGACGGAAAGACCCCGUGAACCUUUACUAUAGCUUGACACUGAACAUUGAGCCUUGAUGUGUAGGAUAGGUGGGAGGCUUUGAAGUGUGGACGCCAGUCUGCAUGGAGCCGACCUUGAAAUACCACCCUUUAAUGUUUGAUGUUCUAACGUGGACCCGUAAUCCGGGUUGCGGACAGUGUCUGGUGGGUAGUUUGACUGGGGCGGUCUCCUCCUAAAGAGUAACGGAGGAGCACGAAGGUUGGCUAAUCCUGGUCGGACAUCAGGAGGUUAGUGCAAUGGCAUAAGCCAGCUUGACUGCGAGCGUGACGGCGCGAGCAGGUGCGAAAGCAGGUCAUAGUGAUCCGGUGGUUCUGAAUGGAAGGGCCAUCGCUCAACGGAUAAAAGGUACUCCGGGGAUAACAGGCUGAUACCGCCCAAGAGUUCAUAUCGACGGCGGUGUUUGGCACCUCGAUGUCGGCUCAUCACAUCCUGGGGCUGAAGUAGGUCCCAAGGGUAUGGCUGUUCGCCAUUUAAAGUGGUACGCGAGCUGGGUUUAGAACGUCGUGAGACAGUUCGGUCCCUAUCUGCCGUGGGCGCUGGAGAACUGAGGGGGGCUGCUCCUAGUACGAGAGGACCGGAGUGGACGCAUCACUGGUGUUCGGGUUGUCAUGCCAAUGGCACUGCCCGGUAGCUAAAUGCGGAAGAGAUAAGUGCUGAAAGCAUCUAAGCACGAAACUUGCCCCGAGAUGAGUUCUCCCUGAGACUU